ACUUUGGGCCCAGGGACCUUUCAUUUCCAUGAGAAUGAGAAUGCCCUCUCUGAGCUUCUGCUUCUGCAGAUCAGACAGAUAGAUAUUCACAAGUCUAGCAAUUACAGGCAGCAGAGUGCGUCAGUGGACUUUGUAGCUGGAUAGUGAAUAUGUCAAACUAACCAUCUGGACUUUCAAGAAUGAGGUGCAUUUUGGACAAGUGUUCUGCAAAGAGAGAGGCUAAGUCAACACAAAGUGUAACUGGGAGCGUUUCUACCCAGACUCUUUAUUUCCAGAAUCAUGACUCUGAGAAUAAAUGCCCAGAUUAUAAGCUGUGGCCCGUUCUCCAACCAGCUUGUAAUUUAUAUAACCCGUUUACUCUAGUCUGUGUCUGCCACAUGGUUGGGUAUUUCUCCUCAGAUUCAUGCUUCUGGUUUCUUCAGCCUUUGGGGAAUCUCCAGGUCUUGACUUUUUCCCAAAGUCCUAUGUGUCUCUUGCCCAGUGUUCCAACUUCUAUUUCCUGCCUUAACUAAUAGCCCAUCAGCUUUUUAUUACAGGUGAUGCUUGCACAGACUAUGGAAGAGAUUCUCUCUACAUCUCCCCCCUUAUCGUCCAAUAAAAGGCCCUUUCUCUAACGUCACUAAACUUCGUACCUUAGGAACAACUGUGAAAUCCAACAGCUUGCCUUCUUGUAUGACAGAGAACCACUGCCUAGGAGUGGUGCUGCCCACAGUGGUCUUUAUGGAACUCCUCAGGGACCAAGAAAAUAGCCCAUGGAUGUGACCACAGGAAGAAAAGUGGA
Molecule: long non-coding RNA, 781 nt
Filed under: Rattus norvegicus (Norway rat)
Lineage: Eukaryota; Metazoa; Chordata; Mammalia; Rodentia; Muridae
Description: long non-coding RNA NONRATT029726
Source: RNAcentral